RNAcentral lists this long non-coding RNA (1714 nucleotides) under Triticum aestivum (bread wheat). Its description in RNAcentral is "long non-coding RNA (TAES_LNC018678)". Lineage: Eukaryota; Viridiplantae; Streptophyta; Magnoliopsida; Poales; Poaceae. The record is from RNAcentral.
AAUAUGUCUAUUUUCUACUUGGGAGUUCAACAUUUGCAAUUACAUCCCUUGAUUUAAAAUUAAAAAAAUUCAGAAGUACAAAACUGGGAUAAAAUGCAUGCUCCUGAAUGUAACACAAUGCAGAGAUUAUGUUUCCUUUUGCAGGCAUGCAUGUAUGUAGACAUGGAUGACAGAAAAGGUGUUUCUUCUUUCGAUGAAGAAGAAUCAUAGAUCUCCGACCGCAGCUUAAGUUUGGAAUUUCUGUUGACCCCAGCCUGUUAAAAUUUAUACAUGCAUAUCAACCAGUGGAACUCCUCACUUCGGGGAGCUGGGGCAGGCCGGUGGGUACCUCAUGGGAUGUGGGGCAGGCCGUCCCCAUGCUCUCUCUCUGCUGUUUAUGUAGCAAUUCGCCUUGUAGUCUGAAGCAUACGAACUUGUAUCAGCAUCUAUAUGUUUAUGUCCCUAUCAUCUUAUAUUUGGAUAAAAUUAUUACUGAAUAAAAUAGCAUCAAGAAAAAAACAAGAGGAACAUAUGAUCAAAAUGCGGUCUGUUAGUGUGCUAAUAUGCAUCUUUGGUGGUACUUUUGCUAAAAACUGAGUGCCCAAAUGAAAGUAAGUGCAACCAGGAGAAAGUAAAACAACCAUACACUGCCUAAAAACAUAGUACAAACUUCACUGACCCUGCUGAAGACGAAAACAAGAGGCUGGAUGAAGAAGCUGCUCCACAGUACUCAAGGAUCGUGGUGAGAGACGAAAACUUAGAGCUUCAUGGAGAAAUUGCAUGUCUGAAGGUUGUAGAUAGGGCUAGUCAAUCAGUUCAGGUACAAAAAGGGCCCCAGACUGCAGCAAAAUGAACUGAAAAGAUAUCUUCUGAACCUAUAAAAGCUCCAGUUUCUCUAGCAAGGGGAAAAUUCAGAGUUAUACCUAUUGAGUAGAUUUCCAGGCCCGACAGUAUGCAGUGUGCAUGCGAACUCGACCUCAAAACAGAAUACAAUACGUGCUGGCGGCUGAUAGCUUUCCGAUUGGAACACACAAUACGGCUCCCUGCAAAAAGCAAAAAACACAAUAUGGCUUGGCUGAUUGAUUUUUAUUGACUUGAUUCCCGGGAGGAUUACUUACGCUCAAGAUGAGAAAGGCACACCUCCGUACGCCUGAAUCAAGUGCAUUGGUAUACACUAGGCCGUUGCCACACAUCCUGGAGAUACAAGGCACGUCAACAACGCAUCUAUACGCGGCAACGUUGCAGACACAUAGACGGUCAAUCGCACGCACAAUGUCUGUACCAUAUCAGCACAUCCUGUACAAUAUAACUGCUAUGACAUCAAGUGCAUCGGUACCAUGACGCCACCGUAACACCGUACCACUCUAUACUAACUUCUAACUGGACACGCAGCAACAAAACAACAACCAGAGUUUAACUCACCCAUGUACAGACAGACUCUGUUAAUAAGGCAGGAACAACAAUUCAUUGUGAUACAGCAAAGACAGUCAAGCAAUAUAGCCCUGAUCAAAUCAGAACCAGCAACAGGAACGUCACUACAUUAAGCAACACCAAGACAAUUGACAAAAUAUCAUCAGUCUAGUCUGAUCCAAUCAACUCACCAUCAACAACCACGGGAACUUUGACCGCCUGGGGGUCCGGCUGGGGCUGAGGGGCAGGGAGGGGCAGAUAUGGCAGGCCAUUGGUGACGGCUUUGGCCAACUUGUAUGCAACGACGUCAGUCCAGUCAUCAGAA